Molecule: small nucleolar RNA, 100 nt
Organism: Amphilophus citrinellus (Midas cichlid)
Lineage: Eukaryota; Metazoa; Chordata; Actinopteri; Cichliformes; Cichlidae
Gene: SNORD16
Rfam family: Small nucleolar RNA SNORD16
About the family: U16 is a member of the C/D class of snoRNA which contain the C (UGAUGA) and D (CUGA) box motifs. U81 acts as a guanine methylation guide and is found in an intron of ribosomal proteins L1 gene in animals. This snoRNA was independently named MBII-98 in mouse.
Source: Ensembl
UGCCAUGAUGGUGUAAUUUGCGUCUGAGCCUGUGAACAGUGACAGUUGCCUGCUGUCUCUUAACUGUCACAGAGUACUGAUGUGUGUUUAAAUCUGAGCA